Molecule: ribosomal RNA, 446 nt
Filed under: uncultured bacterium
Lineage: Bacteria
Description: partial 16S ribosomal RNA
Rfam family: Bacterial small subunit ribosomal RNA
Source: RNAcentral
CCUACGGGAGGCAGCAGUCGAGAAUCAUUCACAAUGGGGGAAACCCUGAUGGUGCGACGCCGCGUGGGGGAAUGAAGGUCUUCGGAUUGUAAACCCCUGUCAUGUGGGAGCAAAUUAAAAAGAUAGUACCACAAGAGGAAGAGACGGCUAACUCUGUGCCAGCAGCCGCGGUAAUACAGAGGUCUCAAGCGUUGUUCGGAAUCACUGGGCGUAAAGCGUGCGUAGGCUGUUUCGUAAGUCGUGUGUGAAAGGCGCGGGCUCAACCCGCGGACGGCACAUGAUACUGCGAGACGAGAGUAAGGGAGGGGGAACCGGAAUGCUCGGUGUAGCAGUGAAAUGCGUAGAUAUCGAGAGGAACACUCGUGGCGAAGGCGGGUUCCUGGACAUUAACUGACGCUGAGGCACGAAGGCCAGGGGAGCGAAAGGGAUUAGAUACCCCAGUAGUC